This 301-nucleotide ribosomal RNA is filed under the name uncultured bacterium. Its description in RNAcentral is "partial 16S ribosomal RNA". It matches the Rfam family "Bacterial small subunit ribosomal RNA", at positions 509 to 809 of the family's 1533-position model. The record is from RNAcentral.
CAGUAGCCGCGGUAAUACGAAGGGUGCGAGCGUUAAUCGGAAUUACUGGGCGUAAAGCGUGCGUAGGCGGUGAGUUAAGUCUGCUGUGAAAUCCCCGGGCUCAACCUGGGAAUGGCAGUGGAUACUGGCUCGCUAGAGUGUGUCAGAGGAUGGUGGAAUUCCCGGUGUAGCGGUGAAAUGCGUAGAGAUCGGGAGGAACAUCAGUGGCGAAGGCGGCCAUCUGGGACAACACUGACGCUGAGGCACGAAAGCGUGGGGAGCAAACAGGAUUAGAUACCCCAGUAGUCCCUGUCUCUUAUAA